CCUGGGGCAAAAAAAGUCCCUGUAAUUGAACACUUUCAUUUUUGCUUGUCCCCAGGCUUGUCGUUAGAAAACUAAGGGACUUUACUUUUGAGUAUCAUGUUUACAAAAGCAAAGUGGUUUUUAAAUUUUAAACUAACAGUGGGGGCUGGACACGUGAGGAGGUAGUGACGCCGCCACUGCCGGAACACGCUGCUGCAGGCUCCCCGAUGGCCAUGUCUGUGGAUUUUAAAACUUAUGUAGAUCAGGCAUGUAGAGCUGCUGAGGAGUUUGUCAAUAUUUACUAUGAGACAAUGGAUAAAAGAAGACGGGUGAGUGUUAUAGACUCUACUACUCUUUUUAGACUACUACUCUUUAUUAAAUACCAGGUCGUGUCUGGAGCCAGCGUUUCAUCUGCCUUGCAUAAGUGGUAACUGUGGACUUACCCUUUAAAAGCAAAUUGCU
This 441-nucleotide long non-coding RNA is filed under the name Rhinopithecus bieti (black snub-nosed monkey). Its description in RNAcentral is "lncRNA (ENSRBIG00000046447.1)". Lineage: Eukaryota; Metazoa; Chordata; Mammalia; Primates; Cercopithecidae. The record is from RNAcentral.